GGGGAUUUAGCUCAGUGGUAGAGCGCUUGCCUAGGAAGCGCAAGGCCCUGGGUUCGGUCCCCAGCCCCCA
Molecule: transfer RNA, 70 nt
Filed under: Rattus norvegicus (Norway rat)
Lineage: Eukaryota; Metazoa; Chordata; Mammalia; Rodentia; Muridae
Rfam family: tRNA
About the family: Transfer RNA (tRNA) molecules are approximately 80 nucleotides in length. Their secondary structure includes four short double-helical elements and three loops (D, anti-codon, and T loops).
Source: Rfam by way of RNAcentral